CCCUUUUAGUCCCGAGAAGGAUUCAAAGACAUCAGUCCUAACUAGAAGCCAAGAGUCAGACUCGUAUCAGUGCAAAAGAACAGAGAUGUUUCUUUACUAAUAAUGCUCACAUUCGAGCAAGGAUACUACAAAAAGAAAAAAAGAAUUACAAAGAACACAGGAGAAAGCCUAAGAAGUCUAAACUUCAAGCUCGGCCCACCUCCUGGCUCGGCGCAGGAGUUGACGAUGGCGGAGCCGCUUCUCCCUUAGCGGCCAAAUUCCCCAGCUGAGCCGACAGCUGGGUCGCCAGUUCUUCCCCA
Molecule: long non-coding RNA, 299 nt
Filed under: Brachypodium distachyon (stiff brome)
Lineage: Eukaryota; Viridiplantae; Streptophyta; Magnoliopsida; Poales; Poaceae
Description: long non-coding RNA (BDIS_LNC005493)
Source: RNAcentral